AUGAGGAACCAAGGGCAGCCGCCUGCUAAUGACAUGGAUAAAGUUCAGAUCAUGAAUAACGGCAUUACAAGUGAACUUGGCACAAUUACACAUGUCCUGAACCUCAUAGAAUCUGACACCAUUGGCAUGCAAGACAACAAGUUCAUCUGCGGCAGCUAUCGCUGUGAGCAGUCCGUCCGCGACGCGCUCCGCAGCGUCUUCGUUGGGCACAACGAGAUCCUCAACGUCUGA
RNAcentral lists this ribosomal RNA (231 nucleotides) under Triticum aestivum (bread wheat). RNAcentral describes it as "partial small subunit ribosomal RNA". The record is from RNAcentral. Lineage: Eukaryota; Viridiplantae; Streptophyta; Magnoliopsida; Poales; Poaceae.